This 337-nucleotide unclassified non-coding RNA is filed under the name soil metagenome. RNAcentral's name for it is "partial contains 5.8S ribosomal RNA, internal transcribed spacer 2, and large subunit ribosomal RNA". The stretch from base 1 to 120 matches the Rfam family "5.8S ribosomal RNA", at positions 35 to 154 of the family's 154-position model. The record is from RNAcentral.
GAUGAAGAACGUAGUGAAAUGCGAUAAGUAGUGUGAAUUGCAGAAUUCAGUGAAUCAUCGAAUCUUUGAACGCACAUUGCGCCCCUUGGUAUUCCAUGGGGCAUGCCUGUUCGAGCGUCAUUUGUACCUUCAAGCCUUGCUUGGUGUUGGGUGUUUGUCUCGCCUCUGCGCGCAGACUCGCCUCAAAACAAUUGGCAGCCGGCGUAUUGAUUUCGGAGCGCAGUACAUCUCGCGCUUUGCACUCAGAACGACGACGUCCAAAAGUACAUUUUUACACUCUUGACCUCGGAUCAGGUAGGGAUACCCGCUGAACUAAAGCAUAUCAAUAAGCGGAGGA